This 110-nucleotide ribosomal RNA is filed under the name uncultured eukaryote. RNAcentral describes it as "partial small subunit ribosomal RNA". The record is from RNAcentral.
UCGCACCUACCGCUUAAAUGGUCUGGUAUGGCCUUGGGAUUGUGGCCCCUGCUAUUCAGUUGAUGGGGGCCGUGAGAACUUGUCCAAACCUUACCAUUUAGAGGAAGGUG